CCCUUAGAUGUCCUGGGCUGCACGCGCGCUACAAUGAUGCAUACAAUAUAUUGGUGUACGAAAGUAUAGCACAUUAAUAUGUAUCUCGAUGGGGAUAGAUUAUUGUAAUUAUUAAUCUUGAACGAGGAAUGCCUAGUAAGCACAAGUCAUUAGCUUGUACUGAAUGCGUCCCUGCUCUUUGUACACACCGCCCGUCGCUCCUGCCAAUGGGUUGUGAAGUAAGAUUUGAUUAAUUUCUCAAAAAUGUGUUGUGGACUUUAAUCAUAUCGAGCUAUGCAAUUUAGAGGAAGGAGAAGUCGUAACA
This 304-nucleotide ribosomal RNA is filed under the name uncultured eukaryote. RNAcentral's name for it is "partial 18S ribosomal RNA". It matches the Rfam family "Eukaryotic small subunit ribosomal RNA", at positions 1470 to 1796 of the family's 1831-position model. The record is from RNAcentral.